Molecule: transfer RNA, 69 nt
Filed under: Calidris ruficollis (rufous-necked stint)
Lineage: Eukaryota; Metazoa; Chordata; Aves; Charadriiformes; Scolopacidae
Description: tRNA-Trp
Rfam family: tRNA
About the family: Transfer RNA (tRNA) molecules are approximately 80 nucleotides in length.
Source: RNAcentral
AGAAACUUAGGAUAAUCAAACCGAAGGCCUUCAAAGCCUUAAACAAGAGUUAGACCCUCUUAGUUUCUG